RNAcentral lists this ribosomal RNA (562 nucleotides) under uncultured fungus. RNAcentral describes it as "eukaryotic LSU rRNA". The stretch from base 197 to 350 matches the Rfam family "5.8S ribosomal RNA". The record is from RNAcentral. Lineage: Eukaryota; Fungi.
AAGUCGUAACAAGGUCUCCGUUGGUGAACCAGCGGAGGGAUCAUUACCGAGUUAUACAACUCAUCAACCCUGUGAACAUACCUAAAACGUUGCUUCGGCGGGAACAGACGGCCCUGUAACAACGGGCCGCCCCCACCAGAGGACCCCUAACUCUGUUUUUAUAAUGUUUUUCUGAGUAAACAAGCAAAUAAAUUAAAACUUUCAACAACGGAUCUCUUGGCUCUGGCAUCGAUGAAGAACGCAGCGAAAUGCGAUAAGUAAUGUGAAUUGCAGAAUUCAGUGAAUCAUCGAAUCUUUGAACGCACAUUGCGCCCGCCAGUAUUCUGGCGGGCAUGCCUGUUCGAGCGUCAUUACAACCCUCAGGCCCCCGGGCCUGGCGUUGGGGAUCGGCGGAAGCCCCCUGUGGGCACACGCCGUCCCUCAAAUACAGUGGCGGUCCCGCCGCAGCUUCCAUUGCGUAGUAGCUAACACCUCGCAACUGGAGAGCGGCGCGGCCAUGCCGUAAAACACCCAACUUCUGAAUGUUGACCUCGAAUCAGGUAGGAAUACCCGCUGAACUUAA